This is a long non-coding RNA of Photinus pyralis (common eastern firefly), 1553 nucleotides long. RefSeq lists it as uncharacterized. NCBI's taxonomy places the organism in Eukaryota, Metazoa, Arthropoda, Insecta, Coleoptera, Lampyridae. The transcript has 3 exons. The record is from RefSeq and is a predicted model, not a curated record.
CUCUUUAAAAUUGAGCUCCAGAAAUCUAGGUCCAUUUUUUUCUCUUAAAAUAAAGGGUGUUGCCAUAAGAAAGUGUCCAAUUUGGACCACCCUGUUUAUAGAAUCUCUAAACAAAUUUAUUCCUUAGGAAGAAAACAGUGUCAUGAGCGAGUCUUCUACAAUGGUGAGACAUCACAACUCGAGGUAAGCUCAACCUUGGGAGAGCCGAAGUCAGAACUGACUGAUCAGGAGAAGUCCAAGGUCAUCUCGGACCCUACAAAGGAUAUAAAUGGCAGCGAUCACAUGCAAGCACUCCUUCCCUUGCAGUGAAACAUGUUGAAGAGGGUACUUUCACAGAACCUGCAGCAGCAGUGAAAAUGACUAUGUACCACCUUAAGUACUCGGAGGUCCAGCUGACGACAUUUGCCGUCUCCUAAUGUGAGCGAGAUCCCAGACGGAGAUAAAGCCUUUGCGGUUCUUCAAAGCAGUCGCUAUGUAGGAAACAUGGGCUUGGCACUCAUACAACAACCAUGAAUGGACUAACCUGUGAUCUAGGAGGUGCCAAAGGUCAAGUCAUUAAUAAUCACAAUACAACCUCGAACAUUUAUUCUAGUUAGGAAGAACCUUGAAGUUGAAUUUUUGUUCUAACUACAUAAAAACUAUACAAAGCCGAUGGAAUACUAAAGAGAAGAAACGAAGAAUAAUUCAAAUUAUCUUCCUUUCGAUUUCCGCCAAGCAAUUCUUUUGCUGCAAUGCAAAUUCCCACCAUACCAUUUGGGGAAACACCUGCUGUAACCGACGAGUGAGACCCGGAUAGACUCUUCACGUCAGGUUUGUCUAUUGGUGCCCAAGAUUUAUUUCAGUCCAUAGAAUUACUCCUCCAGGACUCUAUGAAGGUUGCUGUCCCAAAUUCGAGAAACUGCCUGGUGGAACAAAGAACUGAAAAAGGCUAGAUGAGAAAUCAGACACAACAGUUAAAAAACCACAAACUACCACAAAUCGCAAAUAGAUUAAGACUGCUAAGGCAGAAUUUUCGAGGAGAAAUUAAGUUAACUUGAGAAAUGGGGUGCACACAGUACACUAGGUGCCCUAAAAAGCCAGAUGGUAGUCACACGACUAUGGAGUAUGAUUCACUAUUACACUCUGGUCGACACUCAGUUCCCGGAAUUCCCGAACUGUCCCAAUUGCCGUACAAAACAAUGAUACACCCUUGAGUCACCUAGGACAUUGACAGCAAUCAAGUGCAGUUAGCAAAAUAUGAAGGGUCCGCAGUACAUAGCCAAUUUGUACAUCACAGGAGUACUGUUGUAAAAUUCCCAUAAUUUAUUUGUUGUGAAUAUUCAGGAACUUAUGGGAAUUUUCUGUAAUAUUUAUUUGUCUUUUAGAAAAGAGACUAUUCUAUAUUAAUUUCAAUACCCCAAAGACAGAAUAAUGAACUUAUAUCAGACUUUUGUCUUUUAAAUUGUUUGAUCAGUUCUAAAAUAAUGAAUCCAUAGCAAAAAAUGUUAAUUAUAUGAACGUGAAAAGAAUGUAAGAAAAUAAAUAAACAACUACAAGUAUUGAAUGCUUACCAU